ACGAACGCUGGCGGCGUGCCUAAUACAUGCAAGUCGAGCGGAAUGAUGAAGAAGCUUGCUUCUUCUGAUUUUAGCGGCGGACGGGUGAGUAACACGUGGGCAACCUACCUUGUAGAUUGGGAUAACUCCGGGAAACCGGGGCUAAUACCGAAUAAUCCAUUUUGCUUCAUGGCGAGAUGUUAAAAGGCGGCUUCGGCUGUCACUACGAGAUGGGCCCGCGGCGCAUUAGCUAGUUGGUGGGGUAAUGGCCUACCAAGGUAAUGAUGGGUAGCCGACCUGAGAGGGUGAUCGGCCACACUGGGACUGAGACACGGCCCAGACUCCUACGGGAGGCAGCAGUAGGGAAUCUUCCACAAUGGACGAAAGUCUGAUGGAGCAACGCCGCGUGAGUGAAGAAGGUUUUCGGAUCGUAAAACUCUGUUGCAAGGGAAGAACACGUACGAGAGUAACUGCUCGUACCUUGACGGUACCUUAUUAGAAAGCCACGGCUAACUACGUG
RNAcentral lists this ribosomal RNA (499 nucleotides) under uncultured bacterium. Its description in RNAcentral is "bacterial SSU rRNA". It matches the Rfam family "Bacterial small subunit ribosomal RNA", at positions 29 to 507 of the family's 1533-position model. The record is from RNAcentral.